CAGUCAACGGGCAAGGACGACCCGCAGGCGCCGAGGUCGAUGGAGAGGUAAUUCCCUCAUAAGCUAUACAACUGCUUAGAACCAGUUAGUGUAGAUUAAAUCAUAGUUGUGCCUGCUACCCAAAGAAGAAGCUUCGAUUCAUUGGGUUGGGAAUUCAAAUUCCUUCUCACCUAUAUCAGCAUUUUCUAAAAAAAAAUAUUUUUCUCGUUUGCCAACUGUCUACUAGUGUUGUUGCUGCUGUCUACUUUAGUUGAAAAUUAUACAAUGCUAAUCUGAUUGAACCUGGGCCUACUUAAAUUUGAUGCCAUGCUAACCACAUAGCAUGGUGCUGGAUCCAUUUCCCUUCUGGUUUAUCUCUUGGGUUAGCAUGUAUUCAAGUGCCGUUCAAUCAGAUACUGAACUACAAGAAACUUCAGGUGUUAAUAAAUGAUAUAUGCUCAUUGCUUUACAAAUUUAGGAUAAAAUGAAAUUUAGGUACAAGAUUCUAUUUGGACUGAUGCCUCUAAAAGCUAGCCUAUCAGCGCUUCAAAUUGAUUUUGCAAAUUGUAUAGGAUGGAAACUUCCUGAAACGUUCUCUUGGAUAUAGCUUCUUGACGCUACCAAAAAUUGCCUGUAUUGCUGUUGAUGAUCACUCUUAAAAUGAAAAGAAUCGGCAUACAGAAGAUAGUUUUGAGGUGUGUUAAAAUUGUGAAACAGCCAGGUAGGAUGAGGUGUUCUAUUGUACUUGGGUAAAGAUCUGGAGUACUAGUUGUGUUUUUGCAUGAAACACUUAUUUUAUCCUAGACUAUUUGCAGAUUGAGAGUGACAUUCACAUGUGAAUUACUUAAUUCAACAUUACACCUUAAGAACAUACUGAAUUCAGUACUAUUACUGACUUUGGCUGAUUGACUGACCUUGCAUCAGUACUAUAUUUAGCAUCUCAAGAACACUUGUCGAGUUUCUUGGUUUUAAACUUUUUUUAAAGAAGGCAAAAGAUUUGCCUUAUAUAUUAAUUAAGAGGGGAAUAGAGAGUACGAUACAUGACCCAAUACACAAAGUGAUUACUCUCCUGAUAAGAUGACACCUAAUUUUUUUGCAUCUGCGGUCACCCAUAGACGAGCUUCUUCUUUUAUGGAGCGGAGCAAAAUCGGCGGCGGCACACUUUUGUUGCGGAAAACCCGCGUAUUUCUUUCGUUCCAGAUAGCCCAGCAGACAAGCAUGGUCAUGGACGACAUUGCCUUCCUAUUGGGGAUGGGGGAGUCUGACCUCUUGACCCACCAAUCUUUGACAGACCUCUCGAGAUGCCAAGUGUCGGUGUCGAUGCUCUCUAAAUGUAGCCAGUCCUUAAUCGAGAUCCAACGUCGCCUAGCGAAGUGACACUUGAAGAAGAUGUGGGCACCAGACUCCUGCUCCCGCUUGCACAACGGGCAAAGACCACAAUUCGGCCAACCACGUUUGGUCAACCUAGAGCCUAUUUUGAGUGGCCAACCAAGCAAAGAAUUUUACUUUUGGGGGAGCCCAAGAUUUCCACACCGCGUGCUCCAUGGGGGAGUAGAAGCUUCUCAAAAACUGGGCUGCGUAGGCGCAAGCCGCGAAAUAUUGCCCAUCGUUAGUGUGCUUCCAAAUAAUCUCGUCCUCGGCAUGAGCGUCAAGCUGAAAGUCAUGGAUGAUUGUCCAGAGGGCCAUGAAUUGGCGAAUGUGCUCCAAGGCGAAGUUCACCGACAACUUGAUCUUGGGCACCCAAACAUUGCUGGAAAGAGCCUCCUUUAUCUUCCAAUUUUUCCUAGCAGAAGCCGCAAAAAUGAGUGGUACAAUGCCCUUGGGUUUCCGGUUGUUUAUCCAUGGCGCAUCCCAAAAGGGCGUCUUCGCAUGAUUCCCAAUGGUGAUAGUUGUAGAAGCGUAGAAGAGAUUAAGAUCUUGUUUGUCGCAAGGGCUGCCCAUGCCCACCCACAACUUUGAGGGCUCCGUCCACUCAAACCAAGGCCAUCUUAGCCGAAGCGCUCUUGCGAAUUUAGCUGUGUUGAGCACACCGAGCCCUCCCCGCUCAAACAGGUGACUCCCGUCAGCUUCCAUCCACUUCAAAUGCAGUUAAUUGGCCUUAGUUUUAUCAGCAGUCCAUGGUUAUUUGAUACUAAUUGUUAGACUUAGAAUUGAAGUACCUUUUGUACAGCAUGGUAACUCCCAUCACACAUGUCCGCUUGAAAAAACCCUUUUUCCGCUGCCUAGUAUUAGCAAAACCUGAACAGUUCACAGAUAGUUCUCCUUGGUCUUAUUGUUUCCUAGUUCUUGCACAUACAUUAGAUGACUUCUGAGCUGCCAACAAAGCCAAUUUUUCUCUUGGAUAUUUUCUUGCAGAAUGGAUAAGCUGACAUUCAUUUUGUCAAGUGUUUGCAUGUGCUUGUUCAUGCAAAGAUCAUUUUGCACUCUGAAUUCAUGCAUGCCAAGACUUUGAAUUUAUAUAUGUGUAUCUUUUCACUUCACACGAAUUAACUUUAACCCUUGUCGCGGGUUUGAUCUAUGUAGCUUCCAGUAAAAAGAUGCAUCACAUUUGUCACGGUUUGGUCUAUAUAGCAUCCAGAAAAAAGAUGCCUCAUAUUUGUUGCGGGUUUGAUCUGAUGUUCGGUAUAUGAGGCCAUGAACCGAGAUCCCAUUACAAAUUUUACUGCUAUUUCCUUCAAAAAAUUGUUUGUUGCUAGAAUUUGGGUAUUUGACACUAUGUUUGAGCUCGCGAUGACUACAUAAGAUGGUGAAGGAGGCUGCGAGGCUUGGCAAGGUGAUGGGAGAGGAACUAAAUAAUUCUUUACUUAAGCUUUUUGCAGAGUGUGUUCUGCUUUCGCCACUAGUUUUCCAUAAUAAAUCUGAGAAUAAACAUUCGGCCCAUAUGAAAGCCCAUUUUGUUGUUAUCGUAAAACAUGUUCCUUUUUUUUAUUGUUCACAGAUUCUCAUUUGUUUGCUCUUCGAGAAGAUAAUUCUUUCUCAUGCCGGACAAUUUGAAUGCUUACUACUUCCUAUAUUUGUGAAAUCUCUUAAUGUUGUUGUGCUAUAUUUUACGAAAUCUUAGACAUCAGAUUGUGUGCUUAAUACUGCUACAGUUGCAAAAUGUUGGAUGAGCAGUUUCGCAUAUGAUCAGUUUGAAUGGUUAUACUGCAGCUGGGAUUAACCAAAUAGUUAAAUCAAUAGCAGGGAUUGCAGGGUUGCUAGGGAAUCAACCCCCACAGAUUGGCUGACAAGUAGGGGAUCAACCUAAUCACUGGGUGGAUUAAUUCCACUAUGGGAUUGGUUCCCCUAUAACCAAACAAGGCCUAUGGUUUUCCUGCAUCUGGUGGAACAUUGUAACAAAGAUGUACUUUGCCUCGAACGCAUAACCAGUUUCGGAAGCGGUGUUCAUCGUCCUGCACAUGUACUUCCGUUUUUUCCUGUUUCUUGGUUUGGACCUACAUAAAUUAUGCUGUUCAAUCAUACGAGCGAGGGUUCUAACCUGUGGAGCCCAUGUCAUGAAUUUGCAGGCAGUACAGGUGAGAAAGCUAACACACCAUUGGAGCAGCAUGCGAGUGAGGUGUACACUAGGGCCCACGUUCAAGAAGUUUGGUGAGCUACAAGGUCGAACUGGUUGAGCAAGGCGUGAAGUACCUAGUGCGGCGGCACCUUCCGGAGAGGCAUGGCAAAUGAUGCAAGGUGGUGUAUAAGGCCACAGUUGAUGGAGGGGGUGAUCAGUUUCUAUGCGAGUGUUGAAACUUCGAGCACACGGGAAUAUUGUGCUGUCAUUCACUGAAGGUACAUAAAAUCUGUUCAAUUGCUUCAUUCCUGUGGCGGCGGUGUUUAUUGGAUCAACAUGCGGCAUCUCGAUUAAUGAUGCUAUUCCGCUGCAAGUCAUGGAUUUUAUGGGAGUCAUGUGGAGACACCCCACACAGAGGUGACAUGCUGAAGAAACCAGGGAGGGAUUGAGCCGAAAUGCACCAACUGUGGUGUAGGUGGUCACUAGCGAAACACGUGCGGAAACCGAAGUAGUAUCGUGCUUCAUGCAGUGCCUCCUGCUGAAACACGAAUCCGGCUGGAGGGGACUAUUAUGUACCCGCUUUGUUGCUAGUUUUGGGUUCGGUUUGUACAAUUUGAUGCUGUCUUGUUUUGGCCGAAUGUAGUUCUUGUAUUACUCAUAUCCAUCGUAGUUGUAAUAAUUAUAGUCAUGUUUUGGCCAACUUUGGGAGGACUUAAGGCCGAAUUGCUGUAUGGCUUGGGUCAGGACCAGAUGCCGUUUUGGACGCUAUUAAGCAUGACUGUAACCGUGUUUUGAUUGAGUAAUACAAG
Molecule: long non-coding RNA, 4284 nt
Filed under: Triticum aestivum (bread wheat)
Lineage: Eukaryota; Viridiplantae; Streptophyta; Magnoliopsida; Poales; Poaceae
Description: long non-coding RNA (TAES_LNC021511)
Source: RNAcentral